Molecule: ribosomal RNA, 411 nt
Filed under: Verrucomicrobiota bacterium
Lineage: Bacteria; Pseudomonadati; Verrucomicrobiota
Description: Verrucomicrobia bacterium partial 16S ribosomal RNA
Rfam family: Bacterial small subunit ribosomal RNA
Source: RNAcentral
UGGGGAAUCUUGCGCAAUGGGGGAAACCCUGACGCAGCGACGCCGCGUGCGGGAUGAAGGCCCUCGGGUUGUAAACCGCUUUCAGCAGGGACGAGGCCUUAUGGUGACGGUACCUGCAGAAGAAGCUCCGGCUAAAUACGUGCCAGCAGCCGCGGUAAUACGUAUGGAGCAAGCGUUAUCCGGAUUCAUUGGGCGUAAAGCGCUCGUAGGCGGUCUGUUAGGUCGGCAAGUUAAAUCCGGGGGCUCAACCCCCGUCCGCUUCCGAUACCGGCAGACUUGAGUGUGGUAGGGGAAGGUGGAAUUCCUAGUGUAGCGGUGGAAUGCGCAGAUAUUAGGAAGAACACCGGUGGCGAAGGCGGCCUUCUGGGCCAUAACUGACGCUGAGGAGCGAAAGCUAGGGGAGCGAACAGG